CCUACGGGGGGCAGCAGUGGGGAAUAUUGGACAAUGGGGGGAACCCUGAUCCAGCCAUGCCGCGUGUGUGAAGAAGGCCCUCGGGUUGUAAAGCACUUUCAGUGAGGAAGAACGCCUGGUGGUUAAUACCCAUCAGGAAAGACAUCACUCACAGAAGAAGCACCGGCUAACUCCGUGCCAGCAGCCGCGGUAAUACGGAGGGUGCGAGCGUUAAUCGGAAUUACUGGGCGCAAAGCGCGCGUAGGUGGCUUGAUAAGCCGGUUGUGAAAGCCCCGGGCUCAACCUGGGAACGGCAUCCGGAACUGUCAAGCUAGAGUGCAGGAGAGGAAGGUAGAAUUCCCGGUGUAGCGGUGAAAUGCGUAGAGAUCGGGAGGAAUACCGGUGGCGAAGGCGGCCUUCUGGACUGACACUGACACUGAGGUGCGAAAGCGUGGGUAGCAAACAGGAUUAGAUACCCGAGUAGUC
This 465-nucleotide ribosomal RNA is filed under the name Vreelandella stevensii. RNAcentral describes it as "partial 16S ribosomal RNA". It matches the Rfam family "Bacterial small subunit ribosomal RNA", at positions 338 to 795 of the family's 1533-position model. Lineage: Bacteria; Pseudomonadati; Pseudomonadota; Gammaproteobacteria; Oceanospirillales; Halomonadaceae. The record is from RNAcentral.